Molecule: ribosomal RNA, 490 nt
Filed under: uncultured bacterium
Lineage: Bacteria
Description: partial 16S ribosomal RNA
Rfam family: Bacterial small subunit ribosomal RNA
Source: RNAcentral
AUUGAACGCUGGCGGCAGGCCUGACACAUGCAAGUCGAACGGUAACAGGGAUCAGCUUGCUGAUUCGCUGACGAGUGGCGGACGGGUGAGUAAUGUCUGGGAAACUGCCUGAUGGAGGGGGAUAACUACUGGAAACGGUAGCUAAUACCGCAUAACGUCGCAAGACCAAAGAGGGGGACCUUCGGGCCUCUUGCCAUCGGAUGUGCCCAGAUGGGAUUAGCUAGUAGGUGGGGUAACGGCUCACCUAGGCGACGAUCCCUAGCUGGUCUGAGAGGAUGACUAGCCACACUGGAACUGAGACACGGUCCAGACUCCUACGGGAGGCAGCAGUGGGGAAUAUUGCACAAUGGGCGCAAGCCUGAUGCAGCCAUGCCGCGUGUAUGAAGAAGGCCUUCGGGUUGUAAAGUACUUUCAGCGGGGAGGAAGGGAGUAAAGUUAAUACCUUUGCUCAUUGACGUUACCCGCAGAAGAAGCACCGGCUAACUCCGUG